UAAGAAGGGGGCUAGCGUUGUUCGGAAUUACUGGGCGUAAAGCGCACGUAGGCGGAAUUGUUAGUCAGGGGUGAAAUCCCGGGGCUCAACCUCUGAACUGCCUUUGAUUCUGCGAUUCUCGGGUCCGAUAGAGGUGUGUGGAAUUCCUAGUGUAGAGGUGAAAUUCGUAGAUAUUAGGAAGACCACCGGUGGCGAAGGCGGCCCACUGGCUCUGUAAUGACGCUGAGGUGCGAAAGCGUGGGGCACAACCAGU
Molecule: ribosomal RNA, 253 nt
Filed under: uncultured bacterium
Lineage: Bacteria
Description: partial 16S ribosomal RNA
Rfam family: Bacterial small subunit ribosomal RNA
Source: RNAcentral